Eriocheir sinensis (Chinese mitten crab) is the source of this 471-nucleotide long non-coding RNA. RefSeq lists it as uncharacterized. The transcript has 3 exons. The record is from RefSeq and is a predicted model, not a curated record. Lineage: Eukaryota; Metazoa; Arthropoda; Malacostraca; Decapoda; Varunidae.
AUCCUGAAAAGUGUAAAAACCUGCCUGGGUACACAAGUGCCUGAAAAGGUGUGUAAAAACCUGCCUGGGUACACAAGUGCCUGAAAAGGUGUGUAAAAACCUGCCUGGGUACACAAGUGCCUGAAAAGGUGUGUAAAAACCUGCCUGGGUACACAAGUGCCUGAAAAGGUGUGUAAAAACCUGCCUGGGUACACAAGUGCCUGAAAAGGUGUGUAAAAACCUGCCUGGGUACACCAGUGCCUGAAAAGGUGUGUAAAAACCUGCCUGGGUACACGAGUGCCUGAAAAGGUGUGUAAAAACCUGCCUGGGUACACCAGUGCCUGAAAAGGUGUGUAAAAACCUGCCUGGGUACACAAGUGCCUGAAAAGGUGUGUAAAAACCUGCCUGGGUACACGAGUGCAGAGUAACAGCCACACCCUGCAACACUCAGGAUGCAAGUAACUGCUGCACCAAUAAAUGCUCCCGACAACA